GGGGGGGAGAGCAGGCACGAGCCUGAUGGGAGAAGAGCUAGAGCAGGCCAGCUGGACCAAGAACCCUUCCCAGAGAAGCUUUGCAAGGCUUCCCUUUGAGACCGAGAUCUCUCCCAAACAAGGCAUUAGGGCAGCAGGCGGGCCGGUCUGCGAGACACUACAAGGAGACAGGGCGUAGGGCGCUGGAGUGUGUUGCAGAAGCUCUCUUUGCUGGAGGACAUCUGCAGUGCAGAGACAGCAAAGUCGAGGUGCCGAAGAGAAGGGGGGAAGCGGAGCCCGCCCACAAUCCCUCCCAGCAUCACUGACUGAAAACCCAGCAGAGUUCCCUCCGCCUCCUCCAGCACCACCGGGGAGCAAGCAGGCAGCAAUCUGAAGGAAGCAGCAGCUUGGUUUAAAAAUAAAGUGAAUCUCAAGAGUGACUGGAUUGCAGCAUCUAUCAAAGAUUUUGUCACAGCAACACAGGAAGGGUUGGGAGGAGCAGUGCCACUGAACACUUGGGUACAUUCCGUGUGCUACGUAUACAGCACUUUAAUAAUGCAGGAAAGCAGCUGCUGCUGACUCUGCUUUGUAAACAGAUAAGCCAGCACAAGCUAUAAUGACAUGUCUAAGAACCUAUAUGCCUAUUAUUUUUCAACAAUGGUCAAGACUGAUAUUUCUGCAAAGGAUUAAUAGCAGUUACACCCUUACAGGCCCAGAUUUGAAUGUGUUUUAAAAUCACGCUCAGCAUUAAAUUCCAACCUAAAUGCAUAGAAACACAUAUGAUAUGUACUGUAUCAUCACCCACUGCUGACAGCCCUCCUGAGAAAGAGGCCCAUAUGUGCUGCAAUACCCUGAAGCAAUGAAAGGAAGAAGGAUGCUACUGCUUACUCCUUUCACUAGGACAGUCUGACACCAAGUACUGCAGUCCAACCCUGGAGAUAGGAAGCGUGCCCAGAAUGUCAGUUUGAAAAUUCAAAAACUGAACUCUACCCAGUAAAAGUCGUUAAAAUUUAAAUUUGAAAAUUUAGCUAUUUCCAACAACAUUUUAAGCGGGCUUGUUACACAAAUAAGGAAUAACUCCACAGAAUUUCACUUCAAACUAGAUUUUGAUUUAAUGGUUAGGGGAAAAGCACUUCAAACAAGGGUAGUUUUUACAAUUCUUGCUGUUCUAUUAUUCAGUGAAAGGUUAACGGAUUUAUGUCAGUUUAAUUGACUCAAUCUCAAAAACUGAGUUACAAGUUGUUCCAGCUACUAACACCUGCUUCUGAUUGCACCUGCCAAUUUUUGUUGUUUAAAACCUGAAGUUUGCUAUUUUUUAAAUACAUUUUUAUCUCCCUUGUUUCUUUGUGAAAGACAUACAAACAACAGGCAAACUGACUACAGUGAAACACACAAAGUGGGCGAAGUAAUAUCUUGUACUGGCUCUUCUGUUGGUGAGAGAGGACAAGCUUUUGAACAUACAUAGAGGUCUUCUUCAGUUCUUCCCAGACCUGAAGAAGAGCUCUGUGUAAACUCAAAAUCUAGUUUCCCUCAGCAACAGAAGAUAUUACCUCACCCACUUUGUUUCUCUAAUAUCUACUCCUGGGGGAAUUCUGUGCCAAAAACAUAAAAAUUCUGCAGAUAUUCUACAAUAUUAUAAAAUUGUGCAUAUUUUAUUUGUCAAAAUAACACAAUAAAAUCCCUCUGGUUUCAAUUA
Molecule: long non-coding RNA, 1675 nt
Organism: Caretta caretta (loggerhead turtle)
Lineage: Eukaryota; Metazoa; Chordata; Testudines; Cheloniidae
Source: RefSeq, a predicted model, not a curated record